RNAcentral lists this unclassified non-coding RNA (339 nucleotides) under soil metagenome. RNAcentral's name for it is "partial contains 5.8S ribosomal RNA, internal transcribed spacer 2, and large subunit ribosomal RNA". The stretch from base 1 to 120 matches the Rfam family "5.8S ribosomal RNA", at positions 35 to 154 of the family's 154-position model. The record is from RNAcentral.
GAUGAAGAACGUAGUGAAAUGCGAUAAGUAAUGCGAAUUGCAGAAUUCCGUGAGUCAUCGAAUCUUUGAACGCACAUUGCGCCCUCUGGUAUUCCGGAGGGCAUGCCUGUCUGAGCGUCAUUGUCAACCCUCAAGCUCAGCUUGCUGUUGGGUCCCCGUCGUUGCUUUAACGGCGGACCCGAAAGGUAAUGGCAGAGUCCGUGAGACCCUAGACGCAGCGAGCUUCAAGCACGCGUCUGGACGUUUUUCGGGCUCGGUCUUAACUAGAUGAUAACUUCCGAUUGACCUCAGAUCAGGUAGGGAUACCCGCUGAACUUAAGCAUAUCAAUAAGCGGAGGA